RNAcentral lists this long non-coding RNA (277 nucleotides) under Gossypium raimondii (Peruvian cotton). Its description in RNAcentral is "long non-coding RNA (GRAI_LNC006571)". Lineage: Eukaryota; Viridiplantae; Streptophyta; Magnoliopsida; Malvales; Malvaceae. The record is from RNAcentral.
UUGCUUACCACACCGGUCAAAGCUUGGAUCAGAUUAACCAGGAUACUGACCGAGAUUUUUUCAUGAGCGCGAAAGAAGCAAAGGAAUACGGACUUAUUGACAGUGUCAUUAUGAAUCCUCUUAAAGCUCUUCAGCCACUAGCUCCUACAGCUGAUAGUAACGAAUAGCCGGAUCUUCCUUCAGGUAUUUUUACUAUCAUUUGACAUGGCUAAGAAAUAAUUCGAAAUGGUUGUUCGGUUUUCUGAUUGCCUCUUCGAAUACUAGAUAAUCUCGAGUC